This 253-nucleotide ribosomal RNA is filed under the name uncultured bacterium. RNAcentral's name for it is "partial 16S ribosomal RNA". It matches the Rfam family "Bacterial small subunit ribosomal RNA", at positions 524 to 776 of the family's 1533-position model. The record is from RNAcentral.
UACGUAGGGGGCAAGCGUUGUCCGGAAUCAUUGGGCGUAAAGCGCGUGUAGGCGGUUCGAUAAGUCUGCUGUGAAAGUCCAGGGCUCAACCCUGGGAUGCCGGUGGAUACUGUCGGGCUAGAGUACGGAAGAGGCGAGUGGAAUUCCCGGUGUAGCGGUGAAAUGCGCAGAUAUCGGGAGGAACACCAAUUGCGAAUGCAGCUCGCUGGGACGUCACUGACGCUGAGACGCGAAAGCGUGGGGAGCGAACAGG